AGUGAACGCUGGCGGUAGGCCUAACACAUGCAAGUCGAACGGCAGCACAGUAAGAGCUUGCUCUUACGGGUGGCGAGUGGCGGACGGGUGAGGAAUACAUCGGAAUCUACUUUUUCGUGGGGGAUAACGUAGGGAAACUUACGCUAAUACCGCAUACGACCUACGGGUGAAAGCAGGGGAUCUUCGGACCUUGCGCGAUUGAAUGAGCCGAUGUCGGAUUAGCUAGUUGGCGGGGUAAAGGCCCACCAAGGCGACGAUCCGUAGCUGGUCUGAGAGGAUGAUUAGCCACACUGGAACUGAGACACGGUCCAGACUCCUGCGGGAGGCAGCAGUGGGGAAUAUUGGACAAUGGGGGCAAGCCUGAUCCAGCCAUACCGCGUGGGUGAAGAAGGCCUUCGGGUUGUAAAGCCCUUUUGUUGGGAAAGAAAAGCAGCAGGUUAAUACCCCGCUGUUCUGACGGUACCCAAAGAAUAAGCACCGGCUAACUUCGUG
This 492-nucleotide ribosomal RNA is filed under the name uncultured bacterium. RNAcentral's name for it is "partial 16S ribosomal RNA". It matches the Rfam family "Bacterial small subunit ribosomal RNA", at positions 29 to 507 of the family's 1533-position model. The record is from RNAcentral.